UCUGCAUCCCCCUGGCCCGGGAGAGUGCCCGGAGACCGCGUUUAGAGGAUCAGUGGCGGCGGCCUCGCGCGGCGCGGGCGACAGGCGGCGAGGUGUCCAGGCCCUUUCCAGGUUUGGAGACAGCCUUGGAGAGCCAACUUCCCAGCUUCAGCAGCAUGAGAAUAACACAGUACUCAGCUGGUGCUGGCAUUCAGCUGUUUCUGCACAGGUUGGCUGCUACCCUUGCUGAUGGAGAGGGGCUGGAGGUUGUCUGAAAAGACAUUGCUGAUGACCACUUAGUUGGUAGUAGCAGGAUUUGUAGAGUAGAGAUGCAGAGGCCUCCUAGGGAAGUGUGAAGGGAAAGCCUUAACCAGAGUUGAGGAAAGAAGAGCAAGAAGGG
Long non-coding RNA from Nannospalax galili (Upper Galilee mountains blind mole rat), 379 nucleotides. RefSeq lists it as uncharacterized. NCBI's taxonomy places the organism in Eukaryota, Metazoa, Chordata, Mammalia, Rodentia, Spalacidae. The transcript is spliced from 3 exons. The record is from RefSeq and is a predicted model, not a curated record.